AGGUCCCCCCUGUGGUCUGAGGUCUCAUGCUCUUAUAUCGAAUUAUUACAAUCUUUUUGAUGGUCCUUGAGAUCUCUCUACGGUUUUUGUUUGGGGUAGUUUCCUAUCCUGUAGAGACAGUAUAUAAUAAUCAGCGUUUUGUUAAUACUGUUCACUUGGAUCUUGGGGGAAAACUGCCUGAAUACCCGCAGGUCAAGGGGAAUUCCGGUUUUCCUUGCAAACUCCAUCAGGGAUUCAUAUUAAGCCACAGACCGGAGGCAACGAGUUCUGUCCCUAAAUAUGUUCGACGUUGCUCUUCCCUUCCGAAAGGUUUAGAACUGGGGUUGAAGCAGACAGACUGAUAACAGGAGUAAAUAUGUAGUGAACCAGCAUGGAAUGGGGCUGGAAGCUACUGUAUCAAACAGGCUGUUCUUUGGCAACUGAAGGACAGCUCCAUUGGCUGCAAGCUGUGCAAGUUGCAACGCUAAAGAAUCUGCCAUUAUUGCUAUAAAGGAGAAGCCACCAAGAUCGUGGUGAUGUGGCUCUGUCUGGCUGUCAUGGCUCCUCGAGGCAGUCCCACUACUAUGUCAAAAUCCUUGUCAUAUGUCUUGUAACUCAGGGAGUCCCAGUGAUGUAGAUGGGUGAAAUCUCAUCAGUCAGCCUUGCCUAUUUCAGCCACAUUUCUUCAGGCUUUGCCUAUGCUAAUGAGGCACAAGUUAAAGGGAAAUUUUGGUUAUGUUUUAUUAUACUUAUUUUCACUUUAUAAGUUCUCAGAAUAAAAAUUUAAAAAGGGUUUCCUAGAACUACCAAGAAUUAUCAGUGAGAUUUCUUCUUUUUAAGGCUUUCUUUUUGUGUGUCAUUAUGACCUCAGAUUUUUAUAUAUUGGAUGCUUUUAAUACAAUUACUGCUCAUUAAAAACAAUUUAUCUCACUAAGCAGAGCACAUACACAACAAUGCAUUAUACAGAUGUACAGCUUAAUGAAUUUCUAGGCAAACACCCUUGUACAGAACUUUGCCAACUUUCCUUACUCCCUAAGAGUUAACCGUGGUUUAAUUUUAUUCACAUAGAAAGAAAAGCUAGAUAAUUUGGGCCUUCAUCCCUUCCAGUGGGGAUAUUCAAGUCUAUAUUCAGUAGCAUGGAUGUAUCAGGGAGUGGAAGUGAGCAGAACUUGUAGGAACAGCCUGGGAGUCCACACAAGUGCUGGUUCACCAAACAUUGGAGAGAACAAGAAGUUGGAAGAGAAGCUGAACAAGCCACAAGCCAGUGGUGAGCCACUUUCCUUCUGCUCCCAAGUUCUGGAGGAAAAUAUUUCAAUAUUCAAUUAUCUUCUAUUAUAUGUUAUAAAAUGAUCAUAGUAGAUGAUAGAUACCUUUUAAAUAACUUUUCUUAGAACAUUAAA
Long non-coding RNA from Choloepus didactylus (southern two-toed sloth), 1379 nucleotides. RefSeq lists it as uncharacterized. The transcript is spliced from 3 exons. NCBI's taxonomy places the organism in Eukaryota, Metazoa, Chordata, Mammalia, Pilosa, Megalonychidae. The record is from RefSeq and is a predicted model, not a curated record.